This 177-nucleotide non-coding RNA is filed under the name uncultured Clostridium sp. Lineage: Bacteria; Bacillati; Bacillota; Clostridia; Eubacteriales; Clostridiaceae. The record is from RNAcentral.
GCAGAGUAGGGGUGUCAGCGUAAGGAAGGCGAAGAGAUUCGCCCUUCCGCAGUGCCGGCAGGACAGGGAGUUGUCUGCCGGACAAGAACGGCCUGAAGGUAUCUCCCGGUGCGGCAUGGCCGGACCGCCGGAGAAUUCAUCAGGAACCCGCAUGUUUGACAUUCCGCAUCCCGCUGC